CAAAAGCGUAUAUUAAAGUUGUUGCAGUUAAAAAGCUCGUAGUUGAACCUUGGGCUUGGCUGGCCGGUCCAUCUUUUUUGAUGCGUACUGGACCCAGCCGAGCCUUUCCUUCUGGCUAGCCUUUUGGCGAACCAGGACUUUUACUUUGAAAAAAUUAGAGUGUUCAAAGCAGGCCUUUGCUCGAAUAUAUUAGCAUGGAAUAAUAGAAUAGGACGUUAUGGUUCUAUUUUGUUGGUUUCUGGGACCAUCGUAAUGAUUAAUAGGGACGGUCGGGGGUAUCAGUAUUCAGUUGUCAGAGGUGAAAUUCUUGGGUUUACUGAAGACUAACUACUGCGAAAGCAUUUACCAAGGACGUUUUCAUUAA
Molecule: ribosomal RNA, 364 nt
Filed under: uncultured eukaryote
Lineage: Eukaryota
Description: partial 18S ribosomal RNA
Rfam family: Eukaryotic small subunit ribosomal RNA
Source: RNAcentral